CUCAUACUCCCUCCGUCCGGAAAUACAUGUCGGAGAAAUGCAUAAAAAUGGAUGUAUCUAGAACUAAAAUACGUCUACAUACAUCCAUUCCUCCGACAAGUAUUUCCGGACGGAGGGAGUACUAU
Molecule: non-coding RNA, 125 nt
Organism: Triticum aestivum (bread wheat)
Lineage: Eukaryota; Viridiplantae; Streptophyta; Magnoliopsida; Poales; Poaceae
Source: Rfam